RNAcentral lists this ribosomal RNA (498 nucleotides) under uncultured bacterium. Its description in RNAcentral is "partial 16S ribosomal RNA". It matches the Rfam family "Bacterial small subunit ribosomal RNA", at positions 28 to 507 of the family's 1533-position model. The record is from RNAcentral.
GACGAACGCUGGCGGCGUGCCUAAUACAUGCAAGUCGAGCGGACGGAUGGGAGCUUGCUCCCAGACCGUCAGCGGCGGACGGGUGAGUAACACGUGGGCAACCUGCCUGUAAGACUGGGAUAACUCCGGGAAACCGGGGCUAAUACCGGAUAACUCUUUCCCUCACAUGAGGGAAAGCUGAAAGAUGGCAUCUCGCUAUCACUUACAGAUGGGCCCGCGGCGCAUUAGCUAGUUGGUGAGGUAACGGCUCACCAAGGCGACGAUGCGUAGCCGACCUGAGAGGGUGAUCGGCCACACUGGGACUGAGACACGGCCCAGACUCCUACGGGAGGCAGCAGUAGGGAAUCUUCCGCAAUGGACGAAAGGCUGACGGAGCAACGCCGCGUGAGUGAUGAAGGUUUUCGGAUCGUAAAACUCUGUUGUCAGGGAAGAACAAGUACCGGAGUAACUGCCGGUACCUUGACGGUACCUGACCAGAAAGCCACGGCUAACUACGUG